UCAACGAAUUCCGCAAAACCGCAGCCCGAAUCAGCUGAUACGACCUAUCUUAUGAGAGCGCAAUGUAAAUGAUCUGUUAACACCGCUUCUACCGCCCGCUUUACCGUAGGAUACGGUACUUCUACGGUAUUUGGAUUUUUCCCGUAAAAACGUGUCAGCAGAUUGCUCUCUUACAAUGCAGAGUUGCCAGUCUCGAUUUACUGUAGUAAUUAUAAAAAUUGUCAUCAAUAUGUUUGAAAUUUUCUUAAAUUAACUCAAAAUCAGAGUCGAAAGCUAUUAUUUAUAAAUACAUAAACUAUUUUUAACAUUUUGUUUUCAGUUUUGAUAUUUUAUAUUAAAUUGUAAUUGAAAAGUUAGAUGUGUACAAAACUAUUGAGCAAUGGCAACAUUGUUCAAAUGUAAACAAGCGCCAUUAAAACAAAGAUUAAAUCAAAAUUUUAUUCGAAAUAUCUAUUCAAAAAAGAAAAUGAGGCGAGAACUACAAUGGAUGACGAGAAAUUAAUAGCUCUUAUUGAAGCUAAAAAUAAGCCAUACAACAAAAAUAGUCCAUACUACAAGCUGCAGUCCCGGAUAGAUGCUUUGUGGCAGGAAAUCGGGAAAAAAAUAAACGCAAGUGAAGAAAUGUGUCAGCGUAGAUGGCUAGCACUUCGGGAUCGAUACGGGAGGGAGCUAACGCCCCCUCAGGCAGCGAAUUGGAAUUUAUUAAGUAGUGGCAUUUGAUGAUUCUAUAAAGUUCUUGACCACAUAUUGUACCACGACCGGUUAGAUGAUCGCAUAAUAUUUGUGAAACCGUGACUCAAGUGCUACCCGCUGUCGCUGAUCAGGGUGAAUCGCAAUCACCAGCUGACGCAGCUCAAUUGCUGCCACAAGAACAUGCGCACGAGGUGCAAAUGUCAUCACCAUUAUGGCCCUUGUCGCCAUUAAGCCAGUCACCAUCGCCUCCUUUCUCAACUCCUUCCACCACAACCUCGCAGCCUUCACCGUCCUGCUCUACGCAAGUGUCCACCCAAAAGGGUAGAAAACGGGGGCCAUCUACCAGCGAGGUUGUCCAAAAAAUGAUCGAAGCCAAUGAGUUGUUUAAAAUUAGAUGGUCAUCCAUCCAGGAAACCCAACCACAACAAACCGCAAACCCGGCUAUACAGUCCUUCAGUAGUUUGAUAAUUUCCAUUUUAAGCAAACAGAGUGAAGAGAAACAAUCCAGGGCAAUGCACAAAAUGAUGUAAGCUGCAUUUGAAGUGCAACAGGAGCCGUAGAUGUAAAAUUUGAUUUAAUAGAGUUAUGAAUUAGUUAUUUUUAAAUUAUUAUUAAAGUUUUAUUUAUAUGUUUUUGUUUUGAAUUAAAAAAAAAUGAAAUAAAUGAAUUCAUGAAGUAAAAAAAAGGUAAAAGGUCCUCCUGUAAUAACGUCUAAAUUGUUCUGGAAUGGUACAGAUCCUUCAUUGAUAAAACAGUUAGCAAGUCUUUCCCGUAAGUUAAUCGCGUUUGAAGGACCUCUACGCA
Bactrocera neohumeralis is the source of this 1497-nucleotide long non-coding RNA. RefSeq lists it as uncharacterized. The transcript has 3 exons. The record is from RefSeq and is a predicted model, not a curated record. Lineage: Eukaryota; Metazoa; Arthropoda; Insecta; Diptera; Tephritidae.